CCUACGGGUGGCAGCAGUGGGGAAUAUUGGACAAUGGGCGAAAACCUGAUCCAGCCAUGCCGCGUGUGUGAAGAAGGCCUUCGGGUUGUAAAGCACUUUCAGUGGGGAAGAAAGCCUUGGGGCUAAUACCCUCGAGGAAGGACAUCACCCACAGAAGAAGCACCGGCUAACUCCGUGCCAGCAGCCGCGGUAAUACGGAGGGUGCGAGCGUUAAUCGGAAUUACUGGGCGUAAAGCGCGCGUAGGCGGUCUGAUAAGCCGGUUGUGAAAGCCCCGGGCUCAACCUGGGAACGGCAUCCGGAACUGUCAGGCUAGAGUGCAGGAGAGGAAGGUAGAAUUCCCGGUGUAGCGGUGAAAUGCGUAGAGAUCGGGAGGAAUACCAGUGGCGAAGGCGGCCUUCUGGACUGACACUGACGCUGAGGUGCGAAAGCGUGGGUAGCAAACAGGAUUAGAUACCCUUGUAGUC
RNAcentral lists this ribosomal RNA (465 nucleotides) under Vreelandella stevensii. RNAcentral's name for it is "partial 16S ribosomal RNA". It matches the Rfam family "Bacterial small subunit ribosomal RNA", at positions 338 to 795 of the family's 1533-position model. The record is from RNAcentral. Lineage: Bacteria; Pseudomonadati; Pseudomonadota; Gammaproteobacteria; Oceanospirillales; Halomonadaceae.